GACGAACGCUGGCGGCGUGCUUAACACAUGCAAGUCGAACGGAAAGGCCCUGCUUUUGUGGGGUGCUCGAGUGGCGAACGGGUGAGUAACACGUGAGUAACCUGCCCUUGACUUUGGGAUAACUUCAGGAAACUGGGGCUAAUACCGGAUAGGAGCUCCUGCUGCAUGGUGGGGGUUGGAAAGUUUCGGCGGUUGGGGAUGGACUCGCGGCUUAUCAGCUUGUUGGUGGGGUAGUGGCUUACCAAGGCUUUGACGGGUAGCCGGCCCGAGAGGGUGACCGGCCACAUUGGGACUGAGAGACGGCCCAGACGCCUACGGGAGGCAGCAGUGGGGAAUAUUGCACAAUGGGCGGAAGCCUGAUGCAGCAACGCCGCGUGCGGGAUGACGGCCUGCGGGUUGUAAACCGCUUUCGCCUGUGACGAAGCGUGAGUGACGGUAAUGGGUAAAGAAGCACCGGCUAACUACGUG
RNAcentral lists this ribosomal RNA (468 nucleotides) under uncultured bacterium. RNAcentral's name for it is "partial 16S ribosomal RNA". It matches the Rfam family "Bacterial small subunit ribosomal RNA", at positions 28 to 507 of the family's 1533-position model. The record is from RNAcentral.